Molecule: long non-coding RNA, 1440 nt
Organism: Gasterosteus aculeatus aculeatus (three-spined stickleback)
Lineage: Eukaryota; Metazoa; Chordata; Actinopteri; Perciformes; Gasterosteidae
Source: Ensembl
UACACGUUUCCAAGGAAACGGAACUAACCGCCAUGAAUCAUAACAAGAUUGUGUUUGCUUUUCCUCAGCAGAGUGGUAAGUGUUGUCAAAACUUUAACCACGGAUCAUUAUUUUAGUGCGUCGCAGACUCUGUUACAAGUCGUUCAUCAAUUAGCAAGCAACGAAAUUCAUUUGUUGCAAACCCGAACCCCGUGAUGGCAGAUAUUUUAACACGGAAGGGAAACCACGAGUGUAAUUAAUGAAGUUGACGAGGGCUGCAAUCCAUUUGGCUUCCGUUUGGUGGACUUUGGCUGACUGACUGCAUCAACGGAGCCUCUGCUCCGUUGAUGCAGUCCGCGGUUUUCCUGCUGCAAUGAGCGCUUAGCGUAUCUGCCACGAAAAGGGCCAAUUCACUAUCACACACUGCUGUGAAAAUGACAAGCACCACCUUCCUCCUGCCUGUGGUCCGUCCCGCUCAGCACCGGCUCUGGAGUCGCAUGGAGCCGACACCGUCAGAGUGACAGCGACGGGGGCUUUUUCACCAUCACCCCCCCCCCUCCUGACCUCCACCUCCUGUGUGGUGUGAAGGCAUUGUGGUUGUAAUUGCCUUCAGGACUGGCUUACAGUCUCAGGACCGGGGGAUCUCUCAGCUGUGAUCGGAUAAGCCUAUUACAUACUAGUUGCGUGAAGACGCACGAUCCCGCGUGGAUGAAAAGCCCGAGUGUCGGAGCCAAUUUGUGCCAGUUGCUUUGGCGUUUCCGCAUCCAGUCUUCAGCUGAAAUAAAGUGUCUUUUGUUCUGUGGAUCAUUAACACAGUAGACAAUUCAACAGAGGCUUUUUAGAAACUCCGUUGUGUUACCUCGUUAUGUGAUGGUUAGAUAUGUUACAAUACCCUCCCCCCGAUGUUCAUUAACGGAAGCGGAACCCGUUAUUUUGUGGUACAGCACACGGGCUCUUGUGUGAGCCGAUGCACAGUUAAGUGCGGAGGCCACAUCCAGAGCCUAUUAAAGAAGCUGCCGAUUUAACUACUUCUCCCAGCGAUGUUAGGGAGAGCUAGCAAGGUUACAAGUUCAUUAAAUACAUUAAAUCUGGCUUUUAAACAUCCCAUAAUCCAAAGAGCUGUGAGGGGUGACCUUGUUAAUGAAAAGUAUCUUGACACACGUACACUUUAGUCCAGUGGUAGAAAAUUAGUUUGUUCCUCUCAACCUGAUUCUUUUCUUCUAUUUCUAUAGCUGAUUUUUUAUUUUUCUACAACAGAUGAAGGCUCUUUGGGGACCUAAUGUAUCCUUCUAUUGGAACGCAGGAGGAUGUGCUUCCUUCUGCCGUGUGGAACCACGUCGAGGUAGUUUAAGUAGCCCGAUGGUCGUAUCCACUUAAGAUGCUUGAAUGCUCUAUCAAAACAUUUUGUUCUGUUGCCACAACAACACCGACGUGAACAAGCAGCAAGAAAAUGAAUGAAUG